CAGCUCCUUGACCUGAAACCAGAAGAAAAAGUCCUGGACAGGAUGCACCAUUCACUAGACACCCCCCUGCCGUAACCCAAGGAUCAACCUUCCCGCCACCAAAGAAUCCAGACUCCCUUCCUGGCACCCUCAGACACAAGAUGCUUGGGGCUACGACUCCUGCUGCGAUAUCUGGGGGAACUGCCGCGUGACUCCAAUUGAGAACUUACCAAAAAGCCCCAGAAGAUCU
Pelobates cultripes (western spadefoot toad) is the source of this 229-nucleotide non-coding RNA. Lineage: Eukaryota; Metazoa; Chordata; Amphibia; Anura; Pelobatidae. The record is from the annotation of a GenBank genome assembly.